AUAGUCUUUUAAUUGUAGACUUGUGAAUGGUUCAAUGAGGUGUGAUUAAGGUGAUGGUCUAUUAUCUGAAUUUAGUUUAGUGGUUAGGAAUCCAUUGUUACAUUAUUAGACGGAAAGACCCCAAGAGCUUUUUUGUGUUAGAUUUGUUUGGGGUAAAUGUAGAUUAUUCAUUUAUUUUUAGAUCCUUCAUGGAUAAAGGAUAAAGUUACCUUGGGGAUAACUGAGUAAAGGGCAGGGAGAGGUCCUAUUGAUCUGUUUAUUACUACCUCGAUGUUGGCUUGUUGAACCUUUUCGGUGUAGAGGCUGGAAAAGGAAGUCUGUUCGACUUUUAAAUCUUCAUGAGUUGAGUUAAGACCGGUGUAAGCCAGGUUGGUUCUUAUCUAUAAUUGGUUCUAAUUAGUACGAAAGGAUUAUUAGGAUACAGUGUUUCUGUACACAUAGGAAUAGAAAGUAUACAU
RNAcentral lists this ribosomal RNA (458 nucleotides) under Schistosoma mansoni. RNAcentral's name for it is "partial 16S ribosomal RNA". The stretch from base 102 to 387 matches the Rfam family "Bacterial large subunit ribosomal RNA", at positions 2072 to 2648 of the family's 2925-position model. The record is from RNAcentral. Lineage: Eukaryota; Metazoa; Platyhelminthes; Trematoda; Strigeidida; Schistosomatidae.